RNAcentral lists this ribosomal RNA (465 nucleotides) under uncultured bacterium. Its description in RNAcentral is "partial 16S ribosomal RNA". It matches the Rfam family "Bacterial small subunit ribosomal RNA", at positions 338 to 795 of the family's 1533-position model. The record is from RNAcentral.
CCUACGGGAGGCAGCAGUAGGGAAUCUUCCACAAUGGGCGAAAGCCUGAUGGAGCAACGCCGCGUGGGUGAAGAAGGUCUUCGGAGCGUAAAACCCUGUUGUUAGGGAAGAAAGUGCGUGAGAGUAACUGUUCACGUUUCGACGGUAUCUAACCAGAAAGCCACGGCUAACUACGUGCCAGCAGCCGCGGUAAUACGUAGGUGGCAAGCGUUAUCCGGAUUUAUUGGGCGUAAAGGGAACGCAGGCGGUCUUUUAAGUCUGAUGUGAAAGCCUUCGGCUUAACCGGAGUAGUGCAUUGGAAACUGGGAGACUAGAGUGGAGAAGAGGAGAGUGGAACUCCAGGUGUAGCGGUGAAAUGCGUAGAUAUAGGGAAGAACACCAGUGGCGAAAGCGGCUCUCUGGUCUGUAACUGACGCUGAGGUUCGAAAGCGUGGGUAGCAAACAGGAUUAGAUACCCCUGUAGUC